RNAcentral lists this ribosomal RNA (495 nucleotides) under uncultured bacterium. RNAcentral describes it as "partial 16S ribosomal RNA". It matches the Rfam family "Bacterial small subunit ribosomal RNA", at positions 28 to 507 of the family's 1533-position model. The record is from RNAcentral.
GACGAACGCUGGCGGCGUGCCUAAUACAUGCAAGUAGAACGCUGAAGGAGGAGCUUGCUUCUCUGGUUGAGUUGCGAACGGGUGAGUAACGCGUAGGUAACCUGCCUGGUAGCGGGGGAUAACUAUUGGAAACGAUAGCUAAUACCGCAUAAUAGCAGUUAUUGCAUGAUAACUGUUUGAAAGGUGCAAUUGCACCACUACCAGAUGGACCUGCGUUGUAUUAGCUAGUUGGUGGGGUAACGGCUCACCAAGGCGACGAUACAUAGCCGACCUGAGAGGGUGAUCGGCCACACUGGGACUGAGACACGGCCCAGACUCCUACGGGAGGCAGCAGUAGGGAAUCUUCGGCAAUGGACGGAAGUCUGACCGAGCAACGCCGCGUGAGUGAAGAAGGUUUUCGGAUCGUAAAGCUCUGUUGUAAGAGAAGAACGAGUGUGAGAGUGGAAAGUUCACACUGUGACGGUAUCUUACCAGAAAGAGACGGCUAACUACGUG